Molecule: ribosomal RNA, 495 nt
Filed under: uncultured bacterium
Lineage: Bacteria
Description: partial 16S ribosomal RNA
Rfam family: Bacterial small subunit ribosomal RNA
Source: RNAcentral
GACGAACGCUGGCGGCGUGCCUAAUACAUGCAAGUCGAACGCUGAAGGAGGAGCUUGCUCUUCUGGAUGAGUUGCGAACGGGUGAGUAACGCGUGGGUAACCUGCCUGGUAGCGGGGGAUAACUAUUGGAAACGAUAGCUAAUACCGCAUAACAGUAGAUGUUGCAUGACACUUGCUUAAAAGGUGCAAUUGCAUCACUACCAGAUGGACCUGCGUUGUAUUAGCUAGUUGGUGGGGUAACGGCUCACCAAGGCGACGAUACAUAGCCGACCUGAGAGGGUGAUCGGCCACACUGGGACUGAGACACGGCCCAGACUCCUACGGGAGGCAGCAGUAGGGAAUCUUCGGCAAUGGACGGAAGUCUGACCGAGCAACGCCGCGUGAGUGCAGAAGGUUUUCGGAUCGUAAAGCUCUGUUGUAAGAGAAGAACGAGUGUGAGAGUGGAAAGUUCACACUGUGACGGUAUCUUACCAGAAAGGGACGGCUAACUACGUG